AUAGCCGCGGUAGCCUGACCGUGCYAAGGUAGCAUAAUMAUUUGUCUCUUAAUUAGAGGCUGGCAUGAACGAGUCAACGACACUUUCCCUAUAAUGUAAACCCUACUAUAAAUUAAUAUUUAUGUUAAAAAUCAUAAAUUUCUAGAAAGACGACAAGACCCUAUGAAACUUAAAUUCUGUAUAUUUAAAGGAUUAUUUUGGAUACAACCAGAUAAAAGAAUUUGUGCUGGGGCGGUAUCUGACUGACAACAGAAAAUUUAACUUUUUAAAGAAAUAAAAGAACUUUAAGCAAAGAUAGAAAAAGUUACUCUAGGGAUAACAGCACAAUUUUUUUAUAUAGGCCUUAUAGAAAAAAAAGACUUGUGACCUCGAUGUUGAAUUGAGGGGCCUUAUUUAAGCARAAAUAAAUAUAGGAAGUCUGUUCGACUUAUAAUACCUCA
Molecule: ribosomal RNA, 440 nt
Filed under: Eugerda sp.
Lineage: Eukaryota; Metazoa; Arthropoda; Malacostraca; Isopoda; Desmosomatidae
Description: partial 16S ribosomal RNA
Source: RNAcentral